UACGAAGGGGGCUAGCGUUGCUCGGAAUUACUGGGCGUAAAGGGCGCGUAGGCGGACAGUUUAGUCAGAGGUAAAAGCCCAGGGCUCAACCUUGGAACUGCCUUUGAUACUGGCUGUCUUGAGUUCGGGAGAGGUGAGUGGAAUGCCGAGUGUAGAGGUGAAAUUCGUAGAUAUUCGCAAGAACACCAGUGGCGAAGGCGGCUCACUGGCCCGAUACUGACGCUGAGGCACGAAAGCGUGGGGAGCAAACAGG
This 253-nucleotide ribosomal RNA is filed under the name uncultured bacterium. RNAcentral's name for it is "partial 16S ribosomal RNA". It matches the Rfam family "Bacterial small subunit ribosomal RNA", at positions 524 to 776 of the family's 1533-position model. The record is from RNAcentral.